This 533-nucleotide long non-coding RNA is filed under the name Cyanistes caeruleus (blue tit). RNAcentral's name for it is "lncRNA (ENSCCEG00000012189.1)". Lineage: Eukaryota; Metazoa; Chordata; Aves; Passeriformes; Paridae. The record is from RNAcentral.
AUGGUUCAUGCUGAUUUUUGCCAAGCUUGGUCAGCCUCAUUACUAUGGUACCCAGCAGGUUCUCAGCUCCUGCAGGCCUCCACAGCACUGCUUUGGGUCACCCCAGAUACCACCACAGCCUGCCUUGAGCCUCCUGAAAGCUGCUUCCCAGGUACAGAUGGAUUAACGACGAGGAUGAUAUCAGGACCUUUGUCAAGCUUGUAGAUAACCCAUGGAAGAGGACAGACAAGGCAAACUCCUCUGUGUUCCUGUGCAGUCAGGAAAUGGCCUGGAAGCAAAGCAGCAUUGCAGAGCCAUGGGGAUAAAGGCUGCUGGAUCAGGGAGCUCCUCCGAGGAGAGUGGGCAGUGACCAGCACUAGAGUCAUGCCCAGCUCCCAGCAGGAGGGAGCAAAGGGUUUUAUACUCCCUGCUCUCGCUGACACUCUUAGCACCUGGAUUUGAAUUCACUGUAGCAAAGAACAUUCUGUAGCCGCAGUAAAUAAUUCACUCACGGUCCAAAUAAAGGGAGGGUUUCACAGGGAGUUCUAUAGGAA